RNAcentral lists this ribosomal RNA (1224 nucleotides) under Triticum aestivum (bread wheat). Its description in RNAcentral is "partial small subunit ribosomal RNA". Lineage: Eukaryota; Viridiplantae; Streptophyta; Magnoliopsida; Poales; Poaceae. The record is from RNAcentral.
AUGCCGGGAACCGGAGGCGCGACCGUCCUGGACGACCUUCCAGAGUGGAUCGUUGUCGAAGAGAUCCUCGUCCGUUUGCCGCCCAAGGACAUCCUCCGCUGCCGCGCCGUCCGCAGGUGGUGGCACACUGCCACCUCCACCGACAAGUUCAUGCUGGACCACCACCGCCGCCAGCCCUUGCUCCCGAUCCUCAGCCACGUCGUCGUUCCGCAGAAAGCCCGCCUCCUGUUUUCCUUUGAUGCCGGUGCAGGCCAGCAGAAACUCUGCCCUGUCGUCCGGACCUAUGACUACGGUAAACUGCAGGCCGCCUGUGAUGGCCUCCUCGUUGUCUCCCACGGAUCCAUGACGGAUAAGUUCAUCUGCAACCCUGUCACCCGCAAGUCUGCCCGCCUAGCAAAGCCUCAGGCCCAACGGGGUUUUUACCACCAGAUUAUCGGCUUCUACCGGCACCAACCAUCCAGAGGAGAAUUCCGAGUGCUAUGGAUCUCUAGGCCGACGACCUACAAUUCAUACGACACAAAUUACAGAACUUUCUACUACGUCAUAGUGGUGGGAUCCGAUAAUACAAGAUGCAUCAGACAAGGAUGCAUCCCACAACCAACAUCCUCGCCGCCUUCCUUGGAUCUGGCUUUACGCAGGGGCCUGCCUGAUUCGUCCCAGUAUCCACCAGUCCACCACCGUGGCGGCCUGCACUGGAGACUUAGAAGAUACCACGGCUCCGAUGCGGACUACAUAAUGGUGUUCAACACAGCAGCUGAAACAUUUCGAUUGAUGUGUCGUCCUGCCCGAUUGGGCAACUGCUUACAUGAGUCAUUGCUGGAGAUGGAUGACACUCUUGCUUUGUGCAGCAUCUGCAGUGACAAACACACCAUAGACUUUUGGGUGCUACAGGACUACGAUGCUGAAACAUGGUCUUUCAAGCAUCGGAUUAAUUUGAUUGGGGUGGAUCCAUCAGCGCUUGUUGAUCCAGAGGUCAUAAUAGCCCCUAGUAUGGCUGUUCUCAGUGGGGGUGAGAUGCUGAUUCGGUUUACUCAUAGGGGUGUGUUGCAUUUUGAUGUUGAUGGCAAGUUUUUAGGAUAUGUGAAAAGCCAAGAUGGCCAAGAAAUCAAUUUGUGGGUUACCGGGCAUUACCUCCAGGAGAGCAUUAUUCCCGGUCCACUGUUCCAUGAGAUGAGAGAAGAUGAUGGUGCGAACCAGGAGCCUCCAUUUUUUGUAGGACUGUAG